GACGAACGCUGGCGGCGUGCUUAACACAUGCAAGUCGAACGGAAAGGCCCUGCUUUUGUGGGGUGCUCGAGUGGCGAACGGGUGAGUAACACGUGAGUAACCUGCCCUUGACUUUGGGAUAACUUCAGGAAACUGGGGCUAAUACCGGAUAGGAGCUCCUGCUGCAUGGUGGGGGUUGGAAAGUUUCGGCGGUUGGGGAUGGACUCGCGGCUUAUCAGCUUGUUGGUGGGGUAGUGGCUUACCAAGGCUUUGGCGGGUAGCCGGCCUGAGAGGGUGACCGGCCACAUUGGGACCGAGAUACGGCCCAGACUCCUACGGGAGGCAGCAGUGGGGAAUAUUGCACAAUGGGCGGAAGCCUGAUGCAGCAACGCCGCGUGCGGGAUGACGGCCUUCGGGUUGUAAACCGCUUUCGCCUGUGACGAAGCGUGAGUGACGGUAAUGGGUAAAGAAGCACCGGCUAACUACGUG
This 468-nucleotide ribosomal RNA is filed under the name uncultured bacterium. RNAcentral describes it as "partial 16S ribosomal RNA". It matches the Rfam family "Bacterial small subunit ribosomal RNA", at positions 28 to 507 of the family's 1533-position model. The record is from RNAcentral.